Alosa sapidissima (American shad) is the source of this 328-nucleotide long non-coding RNA. RefSeq lists it as uncharacterized. The transcript is spliced from 3 exons. Lineage: Eukaryota; Metazoa; Chordata; Actinopteri; Clupeiformes; Clupeidae. The record is from RefSeq and is a predicted model, not a curated record.
GUUAUUAGAGAGGCUGAAAACCAGACUGGAACAGGCUCUUCAAAGGCAGCCUCUGGACCUGGACUAUUUAGAGUUCCUCUGUACCAGUGAGUUGAGCCUCUGUUCAGUGAGUAGUCAAACGCCAUUUCCAGAAGAGGUCAUAGGCAGACGGGAAAAGCAGGCCUUAAAAGAGGGCUACAGGAUACUGGGUGCUCCCAAUGAUAACAGAACGGCCAGAACUGGCUAGAGUUCUGUUCCCACGAGGUGCCUCAUCUCUGAUGGAUCCUAAGAUGAUUUUGAAAAGAGUGGUUUGACCAGAUGAGGCGGAGGUUGACGAAGAUUAAAUGGA